CAGCAGCCACGGGAAUACGUAGGGUGCAAGCGUUAAUCGGAAUCACUGGGCGUAAAGCGUGCGCAGGCGGUGUUGUAAGACUGAUGUGAAAUCCCCGGGCUCAACCUGGGAACUGCAUUGGUGACUGCAACGCUGGAGUGCGGCAGAGGGGGAUGGAAUUCCGCGUGUAGCAGUGAAAUGCGUAGAUAUGCGGAGGAACACCGAUGGCGAAGGCAAUCCCCUGGGCCUGCACUGACGCUCAUGCACGAAAGCGUGGGGAGCAAACAGGAUUAGAUACCCGAGUAGUCCCUGUCUCUUAUAC
RNAcentral lists this ribosomal RNA (301 nucleotides) under uncultured bacterium. RNAcentral describes it as "partial 16S ribosomal RNA". It matches the Rfam family "Bacterial small subunit ribosomal RNA", at positions 509 to 807 of the family's 1533-position model. The record is from RNAcentral.